UGCCACUGACAGGGGGUAAGGGAGGGAUGGGGGUGUGAGGUGUGGCUGCUGUUGACAGGGGGUAGGGGACGGAGGGGUGUGAGGUGUGGCUGCCGUUGACAGGGGGUAGGGGAGGGAUGAGGGUGUGAGGUGUGGCUGCCACUGACAGGGGUAGGGGACGGAGGGGUGUGAGGUGUGGCUGCCGUUGACAGAGGGUAAGGGAGGGAUGGGGGUGUGAGGUGUGGCUGCCGUUGACAGAGGGUAAGGGAGGGAGGGGUGUGAGGUGUGGCUGCCACUGAUAGAGGGUAGCGGAGGGAUGGGGGUGUGAGGUGUGGCUGCCAUUGACAGCGGGUAAGGGAGGGAGGGGUGUGAGGUGUGGCUGCCACUGACAGAGGGUAGGGGAGGGAUGGGGGUGUGAGGUGUGGCUGCCACUGACAGAGGGUAGUGGAAGGAGGGGUGUGAGAUGUGGCCAAUUGAAAGGAAGGCCGAAACAGUGAACUGCAGGAUUUAGAAUGAUGCAAAGAAGUUAUGGAAUGGGGGUGAAAUGCUGG
Molecule: long non-coding RNA, 530 nt
Organism: Hypanus sabinus (Atlantic stingray)
Lineage: Eukaryota; Metazoa; Chordata; Chondrichthyes; Myliobatiformes; Dasyatidae
Exons: 3
Source: RefSeq, a predicted model, not a curated record